CUUGGGUAUGCUCAGUAAGCAUGUCACUGAAGAUUACCCGGUGAUUUUCAUAUUGGACACAACCACAUGCCUUGCUUCUCCUGACAAGCAGAUGAUGGGGACAAGAGGUGACAUCGGAAAGUGAGCUGGGGCCAAAAGGUUUUCUACCAAAAAAAGAUGACUUUCAUUGUGAUUCUGCACUUGGGGAAGAGGAGCUAAGACAGACAUAAUUAGGACAACUGAUGAAAUUUGAUAUGAAUUAGACUGGUAAAUGUGGUUAAAAGUAAGUGAUUCCCUUCCCAAAGUGCAUUCCUCUGCAUUGGAAGAAUCUGAACCAACAAAUGAAGAUAAACUUAAAGAGAUGAAGAGAUGCACAUAAAGUGGUUUGUCCAUUGUCCUCAAAACAUACCAAUGAGAGAAAUGAUUUGGACACAUGCAUUUUGUGCUUUUCCAGGAAGGGAUGAUGGUGAGUACUAAGUCCCAGCCCAUUCUGACAAUGAUCCAUCUUCAUACAGGAAAGGGAGAUCAAUACAUCAAUACUUGAAUAAUCCCCUAAAGAGUGAUGAUUAACAUAUUUUUAAUGUGCUCAAAAAUCAAAACACCCAGUCAUACAGUAAAUGAGCAGCUGGUCUUGGAACACAAACUCCCAGUCUUAAACAGUACAGUGGACAGUGUAGAGAUCAAAGCAUGCAUGGGCUCUGAGCCAGGCUGGCUGAAUUUGAAGACCUGCCAUCUCUUCAUAGGUAUGUGCCCUUGUGCAUCCUCAGACUCAGUCUCCUCAUGGGAGAAGUAGAUUUGUUAGAAACUACUGCAGAAGUUUGAUGGAAAGAGUGAAAAAAUAACUCACAUUCAAUCUGUUCCUGGAACAUGGUUGGUGUGUGAUAAACAUCUGCUGUUAGCAGUAAUAGAAUUAGUGAUAUCUUUUAUGAAACUGGAUGCUGAUGUUAUUCUCUGAAAAAAAUGGUUAUUACCCAGGCAGCACUUACAACUGUGGUUCAGAGGCUCAAGUUUAAGCGCAUAAGCACCAAAUGGAGUCCUGUAACAUCUGUGAGUAAGUCAUUUCUUCUCAGAUCAAAUGUUAACUAAGAGAAGUCUGUAGAAGGUGUGCACUCAGCUGUGGGUUCAGAACCAUACUGAAAUGACCCCCACUGAAGAGAGCCGCGCAAGGCCCCUCUGCUGCCGCGACCUCAGGGCUCUGCGCUGACCCCGCCCGGGCGCGGGAUGCCCAGGCCGCUGCGAGGGGCGAGGAAAAGUCGGGGUUGAAGCCCCGCUGCGCCGGGGCCGCCGUCCCUGAACAAUUGGUGGGAGUUAGCACCGGAUUUUACUGUUUGUGACCCUCUGCUCCCCACCCUCGAUAUACGCCACACCCGCGAUUUACCUUGAAAAUCUGAACGUGGAUUAAUCCAUGUACAGAUCUCAGAAAGGAGUGGUGGCUUGGCUCCAAGUAAGAGCACAGUGCAUGUGUCCAACUUGCCCUUCUCCCUGACAAAUGACUUAUACCGGAUAUUUUCCAAGUAUGGCAAAGUUGUAAAGGUUACUAUAAUGAAAGACAAAGAUACAAGGAAGAGUAAAGGGGUUGCAUUUAUAUUAUUUUUGGAUGAAGACUCUGCAAAAACUGCACCAGAGCCAUAAACAACAAACAGUUGUUUGGUAGAGUGAAAAAGGCAAGCAUUGCUAUUGACAAUGGGAGAGCAGCUGAAUUCAUCCGAAGGCGAAACUACUUUGAUAAAUCAAAGUGUUACGAAUGUGGGGAAAGUGGACACUUUAAGUUAUGCUUGUCCAAAAAAUAUGCUCGGAGAACGUGAGCCUCCAAAGAAGAAAGAAAAAAAGAAGAAAAAGAAAAUUGCCAAAGCAGAAGAAAUUGAGGACGUAGCAGAAAGUGAAGACGAAGGGGAAGACCCCGCUCGACAGUCUCAGCCAAGCCGUCGCCUUCUUGAAAGCCAAGAUUGGAGAACAGAACAAACGGAAACACAGUGCAGCAGGCCCCUCAACAUCAGAAGAUUCACGGCGCCCAAGGAUAAAGAGGAGCACGUACUUCAGUGAUGAGGAAGAAUUUAGUGAUUAGAGUUGUAUUAUGUAGAUGUCAGGAAAAUAAAAAUCAUCUGCAGUACAAAUUAUUUGCCUAUAGGAACAUUUAAUAUCAAAUAUUUUUUUUUACUG
Non-coding RNA from Heterocephalus glaber (naked mole-rat), 2139 nucleotides. Lineage: Eukaryota; Metazoa; Chordata; Mammalia; Rodentia; Bathyergidae. The record is from RefSeq and is a predicted model, not a curated record.